AUCUUUUGGGUUGAGACUGUAUCUAGAGAAGCUGUGCUGUGUAGCCAGAGGUCUUCUUCACCAGUUGGUUUGUCAGUGUACAGAGCUUAGCUGCUGUCCACUUAAUUUCCCUAUCCGUCUGGUUAUUCUACUUGGGAAAGGCUUUCCCCAAAAGAAAGAGAAGACCCUUUGUCUUUCUCAAAGCAACUGAAUGAAUGAUGUCUUCAUUCUCCUCCUUAAGAUUGCGGUGUGAUCAUCUGUGGUUUCAUCAGGCACAACAUCCACCAUCACCUGUGCACAUAAAAGGCAUUCUUCUACUCCCUUGGUCUUCAGUAAAUUUUGUUUGACUUGAGAAAUCUGUUUAACAGGCAAUAGCUGGCACAGAAAAUAGGGAAGAACAGCAAGAAGAGUAUUUCCUUUAUAAAUGUUUGUAAAGUAAAUCCAUUCUCCUGACAGCUCAUGCAAAGCUUAUUUUUUUUCUCAGAGUCAGAGACCCAAGUGAAAAAAAAGAGUUGUUUGUGUUUGUCAGCCAGAUGAUUCUGUUGGAUCCAAAGGUGUUAAAAUAGUAACAUUUCCACUCCUAACCUUCCCCCAUGCCUCCUUUAAUCAGCAGCUCUGUUUGAAGAAGGAAAUGUACCAGGUGGUGUAAAUUUUAGUAAUAAUUUUUCUCUUGCUGGUUGUCAUCAUAAGAUUUAGCAAAACCAAAAUCAGAUGCAAGAUACUGAAAACAUACUGCUAUAUGCUUUUACUUUGGGCAAGAAAUGUUUUAUUAUACACUUGGCAAAACAAAAUAAAUGGCUGGCUAUGUCUUUAUGCUGUUAUAAAUUUCAUAAUCUGAAGCCACUGUAUGUAUGCAAAGGAUUUGUAAGGAGGGUCUUUUGCAACCGAAAUCACAAAGAUUAACUGGGAUAUUAGUUUAAAGUCAAGAAACAUUGAUUAGUAACUGCAGCAUCUGGAGUAAAUUGGAAUGCGAGCAAGAAAGUUUGCUUGUUAUUCUCCCAGCAUUGCAGGUGCAGGGAUGCAUUUUUUCAGUCCUGUCAAGAAACGAGUCCCUUAGUACAGUCAGGGAGCUGGUUGUCAACAUUCUUUGGGCCAGAAAGCUUAAUUUAAUUGAUUUCUUCUCAAUCAGAAUCUGGUUAUUGAAAUAAAAAAAAUCAGCUGAAC
Molecule: long non-coding RNA, 1143 nt
Organism: Gallus gallus (chicken)
Lineage: Eukaryota; Metazoa; Chordata; Aves; Galliformes; Phasianidae
Source: Ensembl